Molecule: ribosomal RNA, 253 nt
Filed under: uncultured bacterium
Lineage: Bacteria
Description: partial 16S ribosomal RNA
Rfam family: Bacterial small subunit ribosomal RNA
Source: RNAcentral
UACAGAGGUCUCAAGCGUUGUUCGGAUUCAUUGGGCGUAAAGGGUGCGUAGGCGGCGCGGUAAGUCGGGUGUGAAAUCUUGGAGCUUAACUCCGAAACUGCAUUCGAUACUGCCGUGCUUGAGGACUGGAGAGGAGACUGGAAUUUACGGUGUAGCGGUGAAAUGCGCAGAUAUCGGGAAGAACACCCGUGGCGAAGGCGGUUCUCUGGGACGGUACUGACGCUGAGACGCGAAAGCGUGGGGAGCGAACAGG